This 296-nucleotide long non-coding RNA is filed under the name Panax ginseng (ginseng). Its description in RNAcentral is "long non-coding RNA (PGIN_LNC011700)". Lineage: Eukaryota; Viridiplantae; Streptophyta; Magnoliopsida; Apiales; Araliaceae. The record is from RNAcentral.
GAGAGCUCUGCAAACCAGAGCAUGAGACAAACGACACCGAAGAAGUGAGAAAUUGCUGAGGAGAGAGAAAGAGAAUUUGUGUACAAAUUCUCCAAAAUCUAUAUAAAUAAUCCAGUGGAAAAAGAAAUCUGUUUUCCGCAAAGCAAUGCCUGUUAAUUGCAGAAAUCUAUGUCUUUUCUGCUCGCAAUUCUACAUUUCAUUGGUCUGUAUUUCGCUGAGCUCCAACACAUUUCUCAAAACAAUCAAAGGAAAGUUCAUUUCUAAGCCCUAAAAACUGGAAUUUUCUGCGGCAGAAG